Long non-coding RNA from Rhineura floridana, 3219 nucleotides. RefSeq lists it as uncharacterized. NCBI's taxonomy places the organism in Eukaryota, Metazoa, Chordata, Lepidosauria, Squamata, Rhineuridae. The record is from RefSeq and is a predicted model, not a curated record. The transcript is spliced from 5 exons.
GUGAUGAAAUGCCUUGUGCUACCAUUUUACUACAGUAAAUUUGUUAUUACUGGUUAAUAUACAUUUGCCGUUUAUGAAGGAGUCAGAGUCGGUACAUUUCCACUGACUCCGACUCCACAACUCUGACUCCACAGCCCUGAUCAAGAUCAUCAUCCAUCUAGCAAGAGAACAGUAAACUUCACAUGUGUUAAUAAAAUCCUCUCAAAGAGUGCAAAAUUAAAUGAAUUAUUUUAAAGUAAAUGUUUCAGAGACCAAACACUAAAAUUAAUAGGAUGUAAUCAACACAUGCAGAUGCUAUAAGUGUUAAACUUUUUGCACAUUUCUCUUUCAAAGAGUUCUAUUGUCUUACUUACCUAUUUCUGGUGUUCUUUUUUUAAGACAUUGGAGGUCUUAAAAAAAAUUGCCUGUACUCUUGGUGACAGAAGAAAACUUUUGUUUUAUAAAAUAUUUCAUUUAAACAAAGCUUAAUCUUUUCCUUUUUUUCUUUGAAAAAUUGCAGAUAUCUGAAUAAAUAUCUGAUGCAAAGUAUGAUUAUCGUAGAGAAAUUACCUGUUCAUUGUCUUACUAUACACAGCAUCCGUAGGUGUUUCUCCCAAAUCCAGCUGCUGAAUGAUAGUAGAGGACUGUCGUCAGGGUUUGACUUCAGUAUGGACUGUAGGAUUUCAAGAUCAAUCUCUGCUGCUUUCAGGUGCCUUCUCAGCCUUGGUAUUUCUAUUAAAAGCGCACUCUCGGAUACCUCAUCAUAGGAAGUGGUCAAUUUGGAAUGGACACCUUUAACUCUUCUUCAGUGGCAGAUAUGAGACUCUUCGCUUGAACAACCUCAAACAUGGCUGCUAUUUCCUUGAUGGCUCUUGAUCUGAUCUGGAGUUCAGAAUGAAAGCGAUCAAUGCACUCAAGCAUCACCCUCUUAUUUUCUUCUUGCAGAUUGUUCUUUGCAAAAAGAAGCCCCGUUGUGAACAUUUGAUGAACUGUGGCCUACAGCAAUUAUGUGACUCCGCAGCAGAUCUAGCAAGAGAUGCCGCUCUUUGCUGAAGGUGUGUCUGCUUUUGGAUCAAGCCGUGGCACAAACCCCAAUGGAGGAAAAGUGGAGAGAUGCUCUUUGAAAGAACACUGGCCAAUAGUCAAAUCCUAUUUGAAGGCUGCACACCAGCCAGAUAAUCAUCUCCAGGUUUCAGCUUGUAUCCCAGGAGCCAAGAACUUAAAAUGUGAACUCAUUAAGAAGAUGCGAUAACACAAUUCAUUGUCCAAACUCUUUCUUUGGUUUCUCUCAGAGCCAACCACGAGGGGUUUUUUUUCAUUUUGCUGUGCGUGGCUGGGGUAUAGAUUGUCAGGGACGUGGCUUGUUGUCUGGGAUGCUGCUGCUGUUAACUCUGCUAUUGUUUCCUUUUGUGUCUGCGCUGUGAGCUCCUAUUGUUGAGACUGGUACGUUAUGAAGCUCAGGGCAGGGGAAUGCACUUCGGAUGCCAAAUGGGAAGAGAUUAGAGAGAGGCCAAUUUUUACGUUUCCUAGUCUAAUUUUGGAGGGAUGGUAUUUGUAUUGACUGCAAACUUGUUUCAGGCCGAGGAAAUAAUUGAGGCAUGUGAAGGGUUCAUUCCUCUAUAGUCUGUCCAUUUAAACUAUUUGUUGUGCCAUUGGCAUAAAUAAUGUCGAGACAGACAUGUAUAUAUAGUAAUCAGGUGGGAAUCCGUUCACUUGAAGGAUCACCUUGCCCCAAAUGUGCCCACCCGACCACUUUGAUCUAUGGAACUGGCACCUUCACAAGUGCCAUAUAGUAUUCUCCUGCACUUGUGAGGGCCCAUUCUUAUGGUGGGGCUGCACCUCUGCUCCGCAACUUCCUGCCUAUUAAGAAUAGGCAGGCGCCUUUGUUGUCCUGUUUUCAAUGCCUGCUGAAACCUUUUCUGUUUAGGCAAGCCCUACCCAGACAUGUCAUUUUGUUGUGCCUGAUUGUCUUAAAUAUGCGCUGGCUGGGGCUGAUAGGAAUUGUAGUCCAAAACAUCUGGAGGCCACCAGGUUGGCAAAAGCUGCUUUAUCCUCUCUGUCAGAUCACAGGCAGAUGUACUCGGGGACAGAGUCAACUGGAAAACAGUUCUGAAGAACUGACUCUUUGCAUCUCGAUACUGUUACUGGAUAGACCAGUAGAAUGACGGCUGAAUGACACACCUAAGUGCUUAUUUCAUUUUUAUUUACAACAGCUUAUCCCACCCUUCCUCCAAGGAGCUUAGGAUGGUGUACAUCACAGCUGGGUACCUAUGGCCUAUGGCCCAAUCUAGGCCCCCUGGGGGGGUCAAAUCUGGCCCACAACGUGAAUUUUCAAAAACCUUACCCACCUGCCAAUCAGCUGAUGUCACUCCGAUGAGGUGUGAUGGUAGCUGAUGGGUGGGGUGAAGGGUUCAGUUCUGCACUGGCUGUGUAGGCUGUGUGCAACCGUUCUCCUGCUGGGAAGUGGUGUGUGCAGUCAAAGCAGCAGGAUUGACUGAGUGACACAGAGAGCUGAUUGGCCGGAGAAAAGGAAGCUGAUUGCUCAGUGAACAGGAAAAUGACAGAAAUGCCUUUACAAGCCUCUGUAAGUUCAAGAAAGUAUAAAAUAUGUAUGGAACAGGAAACAGUAUGCAGCUUUGAGAUCUGGGGGGAGUUUUUUAAAAAACUUGCUUGACAUUCUCAUUGGGAGAGCUGUGCCUAGUUCUAAUGGACCAGCCUAGGCUGACUACACCACACUGGUUCUCCUGAUUAUAAGGAUCCAUGUAGCUAAUUUCCCUUUAGAGUAAAAUUUAAAAAAUAUUCUAACUUGCUGCCACCCCAGACCCCUUUUGCAGUCUUCCUCUUUCUAAGUUUGUUCAUUAGAUUACAGGUGACCAAAAGAGAACCGGAUAGAGAUCACUUGUGCACUGACUAGCCAAGAACAAUACUCUCUUUCUCUUUGCUGGAGCAUAGCUGGAAAGAAGAGCUCUUUCCUGAAUGGCUUGGCAAUACUGAUAGCCAGUGAAGGAAAUCUUAAAAGCUCUUUGGGUUGAUGAGAAUUGCCCCAGCUCUUCGGGUUUCCAAGUUCUGGAGAUGAUUAAUUUAUUUAGCUUUUGCUUUGAAGAAGUAUUAGAGAUGCAGAAUGUGAUAAACAGGUUUUUGCACUGCAGCUCAUUCAGGGCUUCUUAAAGGGAAAACACACCUUCUUUGGUGUGCAAGAGAAACUAUGGAUGCAAAUUAUUUUCAAAAUAAAACAAAAAC